RNAcentral lists this ribosomal RNA (372 nucleotides) under uncultured organism. RNAcentral describes it as "bacterial SSU rRNA". It matches the Rfam family "Bacterial small subunit ribosomal RNA", at positions 526 to 896 of the family's 1533-position model. The record is from RNAcentral.
CGGAGGUGGCAAGCGUUGUUCGGAAUUACUGGGCGUAAAGGGCGCGUAGGCGGUUCGUUAAGUCCUGUGUGAAAUCCCCCGGCUCAACUGGGGAACUGCACAGGAAACUAGCGGGCUUGAGUUCGGGAGAGGGAAGCGGAAUUCCGGGUGUAGCGGUGAAAUGCGUAGAUGUCCGGAGGAACACCGGUGGCGAAGGCGGCUUCCUGGACCGACACUGACGCUGAGGCGCGAAAGCUAGGGGAGCAAACGGGAUUAGAUACCCCGGUAGUCCUAGCUGUAAACGAUGAGUGCUGGGUGUAGGGGGUAUUAACCCCCCCUGUGCCGAAGCUAACGCAUUAAGCACUCCGCCUGGGGAGUACGGUCGCAAGGCUG